GCAAGGGGGGGAGCAUUUGAAGGAUGGCUGGUGGGUCCCAGUGACGUUUCCAGAAGCAGAUGUCACUGAUCCUGCCUCAAGAUUUCUGUUUACGCCAAACCUGUGUAUUUUGCUUUGAUUUGUAUUGAUUAACGCUGGGCUCUAACUUGUACAUAGUUUGUAUAUAGGAUAAUUGCAUUUUUCUGUUCUCUCUUCUGCAGGUUUAGGUUUAGCUGCUUUGCCAGAGUGGAUAUCAAACAAUGCUUCCUUCUGCAAAUCUCAGGGAAUUCAAACUUAUUUGAGUUAAGAAAGGCCCCACCAGGAAAAGCUCAAUAGAAGUGCGAUUUAAAGUGAUGACUCCUGACUUUGAUGGUUCCUCAGCAUGAUGCUUCAGCCUGAAGGUUGGACUGGCUUCCCUGCUCUGUACUCCUCACACAUAUCAACCUGACAGAAACAUGGAAACUUCUCGUUUUGCCUUUAAACCAGCGGGAGAGGCGCUUGUCCCACCCUCAAGAGACGUGAGCCUGCUCACACUUUAGGAGCCUGGGCAGGCCAUCCCGAGGGCACGGUGCCCACUGUCAAUUGCUGCACCUCUGCCUUAUCUGGAGAGGCAAAGUUUACAACGAGAGGUAAUGAUUUUAAUCACAGCUAAUGUAUUUGAUGACCCUUCGGGCUCAGAGUGUAGUCAUCUGCCCAGAAAGGACGUGGCAGCAUCUGAACCGGCUGAUGUUAAGGCACAAUUGGCCUUAUCACAUGCAUGCCGCCUUGGUUACCCCACGGGCUUUUGCUGACCGAAACUCCUAAGUCCCCUCCUCGUGGCCAUAUCUAUUUCAGUCCCCGACUAACUAGCAUGCAUGCCAGACAGAAGGACCUUCAUUAAAAAAGACAAGCCUGUUGUUAAUACUAAUGAUGUUAAGAUUGCCACUGUUUUCCACUGGCACAUGGUUUCGGAGGAGAGUAAGUGCAGGACUGAAAGUUAGGAACAACUUUACCUCAGCAGGAUGAGGUAACAGUUUUUUCAGCCUUCUGUUACCACUCAAAGACUUCAAGACCACAGCAUAUAUUUUGAUACAUGUUUUCUCUACCAGCUGCUCUGAUAACUAACGAGGAAAUUUAAGGCCAGCAUUAUAUUAUUACGAUGUCUCAGAGCAUUGUGAGCCUUUAGCUGUGAGGAGAAGUAACUUGCUCACGUAGCAGACCAUCUGAACACAGAAAGAAAGCAGCCUUUCUGACGCUCUGUGUAGAAAGACAUCUGGGCAACCCAUCUUCUACUCUCAAGGCACAUUUCUGCCCAAACACCAUGACCCUCAGGCAGCCCUGUAACCCAUGAGGCCUACUUGGCGUUACACAAGGCAGGUGGCUGCCAGCCUGUCAGCAGAGCUUCUCACAGAAACAAACAUAAACAAAAACCAUGAAAAAGACCUGGGAAACCUCCCUUUUUUUCUUGCUUUCUCCUAAUUGGCAUCUACUUCCAUAACUGACUCUGAGAUGUUGGAACAUGCCAGGUGUCAGACUCCCAGAAGCCAGGACAAUAUUUGGCCCCAAUUCUGUUCUGUGGAGGCUCUGAGGAGUUUCCACUUUGCUUACAUGCAGCACUGCAGUUGGGACACCACUGAGCUCAUGGAUAUGCUCAGUGCCAUAGGUAACUCCACAGGUAACUCGCCAUUACCCAGACCCCAUGCCUAGCUAAGGGAAAGGUGGGUGCACAUGAACAGAGCUCAUCUAGAGCUGAUUGUUGCUGGAAAAUUAAUGCCUGGCUUAAUGUAGUGCACAGAAAAAGUCUUUUGGUGAUAUUUUCCCUUUUAUUGAGAAAAAGAUCUGAACAAUGUAGGUGUUUUUGUUAACGUCAAAAUGUAUCAGAUGUUUGUGUUGUAUUGCAUUCUUAUUAUUCUCAUAUUGUUGCCAACAUUACGAAAUCUAAUUCAAUACUGGAUACUGUAAUUUAACAA
Molecule: long non-coding RNA, 1928 nt
Organism: Cygnus olor (mute swan)
Lineage: Eukaryota; Metazoa; Chordata; Aves; Anseriformes; Anatidae
Exons: 2
Source: RefSeq, a predicted model, not a curated record